GGAAUGAACUUUGGCUUAAGUUUAUCGAUAUCAUGAUUCCAGUCGACCACAAUGGCAUGAUCCUAAUGAGGGCUUUUAGCUCCUCAACUUGCUCCACUGUGCAAAGGUUCCAUGAAUUCACUGCAGCACCAUUUGGCUUAACAUCGUCAGGGCUCUUAAUAAUGCAAGCUUUGUUUAAGAAUCUCAGUUUCUCCUUUUUUCGUUAGAUGUCUAUCCAUGGAUUGAGCUUGUAGUAAAGGGAAUGAACUUUGGCUUAAGUUUAUCGAUAUCAUGAUUCCAGUCGACCACAAUGGCAUGAUCCUAAUGAGGGCUUUUAGCUCCUCAACUUGCUCCACUGUGCAAAGGUUCCAUGAAUUCACUGCAGCACCAUUUGGCUUAACAUCGUCAGGGCUCUUAAUAAUGCAAGCUUUGUUUAAGAAUCUCAGUUUCUCCGUUGGCACUUGAAGUUCCGAACCAUUCUUGUGAUGGUAAUCAGAAUUCUGAAUAGGGUAUG
This 493-nucleotide long non-coding RNA is filed under the name Nicotiana benthamiana. RNAcentral's name for it is "long non-coding RNA (NBEN_LNC042606)". The record is from RNAcentral. Lineage: Eukaryota; Viridiplantae; Streptophyta; Magnoliopsida; Solanales; Solanaceae.